GGGGAAUCUUCCGCAAUGGACGAAAGUCUGACGGAGCAACGCCGCGUGAGUGAUGACGGCCUUCGGGUUGUAAAGCUCUGUUAAUCGGGACGAAAGGUCUUCUUGCGAAUAGUUAGAAGAAUUGACGGUACCGGAAUAGAAAGCCACGGCUAACCACGUGCCAGCAGCCGCGGUAAUACGUAGGUGGCAAGCGUUGUCCGGAAUUAUUGGGCGUAAAGCGCGCGCAGGCGGAUUGGUCAGUCUGUCUUAAAAGUUCGGGGCUUAACCCCGUGAUGGGAUGGAAACUGCCAAUCUAGAGUAUCGGAGAGGAAAGUGGAAUUCCUAGUGUAGCGGUGAAAUGCGUAGAUAUUAGGAAGAACACCAGUGGCGAAGGCGACUUUCUGGACGAAAACUGACGCUGAGGCGCGAAAGCCAGGGGAGCGAACGGGAUUAGAUACCCCGGUAGUCCUGGCCGUAAACGAUGGGUACUAGGUGUAGGAGGUAUCGACCCCUUCUGUGCCGGAGUUAACGCAAUAAGUACCCCGCCUGGGGAGUACGACCGCAAGGUUG
This 549-nucleotide ribosomal RNA is filed under the name uncultured bacterium. RNAcentral describes it as "bacterial SSU rRNA". It matches the Rfam family "Bacterial small subunit ribosomal RNA", at positions 356 to 896 of the family's 1533-position model. The record is from RNAcentral.